UUAAACCCUUUAUAGAUGGCUUAGUUGUCUAGCCGGGUCGUAUAAGUAGUCGAGUAGCCUUGUUGUUACGAGCUAUUGAGCGUAAGCCCGUCGCUAGCUUGAUUG
RNAcentral lists this ribosomal RNA (105 nucleotides) under Pyrenophora teres f. teres 0-1. RNAcentral's name for it is "eukaryotic large subunit ribosomal RNA". It matches the Rfam family "Eukaryotic large subunit ribosomal RNA", at positions 3296 to 3399 of the family's 3401-position model. Lineage: Eukaryota; Fungi; Ascomycota; Dothideomycetes; Pleosporales; Pleosporaceae. The record is from RNAcentral.